This 468-nucleotide ribosomal RNA is filed under the name uncultured bacterium. Its description in RNAcentral is "partial 16S ribosomal RNA". It matches the Rfam family "Bacterial small subunit ribosomal RNA", at positions 28 to 507 of the family's 1533-position model. The record is from RNAcentral.
GACGAACGCUGGCGGCGUGCUUAACACAUGCAAGUCGAACGGAAAGGCCCGGCGUUUGUGGGGUGCUCGAGAGGCGAACGGGUGAGUAACACGUGAGUAACCUGCCCUUGACUGUGGGAUAACUUCAGGAAACUGGGGCUAAUACCGGAUAGGAGCUCCUGCUGCACGGUGGGGGUUGGAAAGUGUCGGCGGUUGGGGAUGGACUCGCGGCUUAUCAGCUUGUUGGUGGGGUAGUGGCUUACCAAGGCUUUGACGGGUAGCCGGCCUGGGAGGGUGACCGGCCACCUUGGGACUGCGAUACGGACCAGACUCCUACCGGACGCAGCAGUGGGGAAUCUUGCACAAUGGGCGGAAGCCUGAUGCAGCAACGCCGCGUGCGGGAUGACGGCCUUCGGGUUGUAAACCGCUUUCGCCUGUGACGAAGCGUGAGUGACGGUAAUGGGUAAAGAAGCACCGGCUAACUACGUG